Molecule: unclassified non-coding RNA, 869 nt
Filed under: Hevea brasiliensis (rubber tree)
Lineage: Eukaryota; Viridiplantae; Streptophyta; Magnoliopsida; Malpighiales; Euphorbiaceae
Source: RNAcentral
AAUAGAACAUAAGAUAAUUGGACUCACAGCAUGAUUUAUACGUCUUUUUUGUGUCAACAUAUGAGUAGAACAACAAAGAACAAACCUUGACUCGAUCAGCUUCUUAUCUUUGGUAAAAAAAAUUGGCUUCCAUUUGUGGCCAAAUGGGGAUGAAGGAUCAUCAUCUUCACUUGAUGCUCGAGUAUAAAUCAAACCAUGCUUCAUGUUCAAUGAAAUUUGGGUACUUCUCUUUCAUUCUCUCAUAAAUGAUAGGGAUAAGUACUAUAGAGUUUCUCCCCAUCUAUCCAGUUCUACUUCACAAAAGAAGAACAAUUUCGAUAGGAACUUUAUAACCUAAAAGAUAAUAAAAAAAGAAGAAAUUUUUAUACUAUUAAUUAUAAAAUAAACUCAUAAUCAACUUACUACUUAUUGCUCAAAAGCUUUGAUCAUUAAAUAAAACCACAACUGUACCAUCUCAUGGCGGAACUGGUUCUUUGAGUUGGGUGGGCACUCAUUAGCUAUGGAGAUCCAUCCAACAAUGUGGGUCCGAGAGGCGGCCCCAUUAACAUAUAGCAACUCCUUAAAUCCCAAUUCCUCGAUGAUGUCAUUGAAGUCUGAAGUAGUGUUUGUGGGAAAUCCUCUUAAGAGAUCACACCAGUUUUGCGUAGUAAAGAGUCAAGGUAUGGUUGCUUGGUAUUUAUGGUGUCAAUGAGAGCAAAAAAAAAUGAAAGAAAAGAGUUUAGAGAAAGAACAGAAGGGAAGGAAAGGAACUGAAGCGUUUUAUCAUCUCUUUGUUUUAUUAUGGAAGGUCCACAAAAUUGUUUGAGUUCAUUUAAGAAGCCACCUUCACAAAGUUACCAACCUUCAUAAUAAAACGCAAAGAAGAGAGA